Molecule: transfer RNA, 83 nt
Organism: Folsomia candida
Lineage: Eukaryota; Metazoa; Arthropoda; Collembola; Entomobryomorpha; Isotomidae
Rfam family: tRNA
About the family: Transfer RNA (tRNA) molecules are approximately 80 nucleotides in length. Their secondary structure includes four short double-helical elements and three loops (D, anti-codon, and T loops).
Source: Rfam
GCCAGGAUGGCCGAGUGGUUAAGGCGCUACGUUCAGGGCGUAGUCCAGUUCUCUGGGCAUGGGUUCGAAUCCCAUUUCUGGCA